Molecule: transfer RNA, 88 nt
Filed under: Chloroflexota bacterium
Lineage: Bacteria; Bacillati; Chloroflexota
Also listed under: 1 other name
Description: Chloroflexi bacterium (marine sediment metagenome) tRNA-Tyr
Rfam family: tRNA
About the family: Transfer RNA (tRNA) molecules are approximately 80 nucleotides in length.
Source: RNAcentral
GGCGGGGUGGCAGAGCGGUCAAUUGCACCGGGCUGUAAACUCGGCGCCCUUAAGGGCUACGCAGGUUCGAAUCCUGCCCCCGCCACCA